AGUUUUGCACAGUGGCAGUAUCAUAGUCAAUGAGGUUUAUCCAAGGCGCAAUUAUUGCUAAUUGAAAACUUUUCCCAUAUUGAGGAAUCCUCAGGAUGUUUCAAAUCUUGUUCCAUGCCCAGAAA
Molecule: small nuclear RNA, 125 nt
Filed under: Sorex araneus (European shrew)
Lineage: Eukaryota; Metazoa; Chordata; Mammalia; Eulipotyphla; Soricidae
Description: U4 spliceosomal RNA (ENSSARG00000017902.1)
Rfam family: U4 spliceosomal RNA
About the family: U4 small nuclear RNA (U4 snRNA) is a component of the major U2-dependent spliceosome. The structure of U4 snRNA from yeast and human has been reported.
Source: RNAcentral